GACACGUGGUAUCCUGUCUGAAUAUGGGGGGACCAUCCUCCAAGGCUAAAUACUCCUGACUGACCGAUAGUGAACCAGUACCGUGAGGGAAAGGCGAAAAGAACCCCGGCGAGGGGAGUGAAAAAGAACCUGAAACCGUGUACGUACAAGCAGUGGGAGCCCCACCACUAAGCCAGUGGUGAACUCCACAUACGCAUCCUUUGCUGAGGAUACGGUUAACGGAGCGAAAGCGACGUUCAACCGCAAAAGAAGCAGAGGGGGCUUAGUGGUGGGGUGACUGCGUACCUUUUGUAUAAUGGGUCAGCGACUUAUAUUCUGUAGCAAGGUUAACCGAAUAGGGGAGCCGGAGGGAAACCGAGUCUUAAUUGGGCGUUAAGUUGCAGGGUAUAGACCCGAAACCCGGUGAUCUAGCCAUGGGCAGGUUGAAGGUUGGGUAACACUAACUGGAGGACCGAACCGACUAAUGUUGAAAAAUUAGCGGAUGACCUGUGGCUGGGGGUGAAAGGCCAAUCAAACCGGGAGAUAGCUGGUUCUCCCCGAAAGCUAUUUAGGUAGCGCCUCGUGAAUUCAUCUCCGGGGGUAGAGCACUGUUUCGGCUAGGGGGCCAUCCCGGCUUACCAACCCGAUGCAAACUGCGAAUACCGGAGAAUGUUAUCACGGGAGACACACGGCGGGUGCUAACGUCCGUCGUGAAGAGGGAAACAACCCAGACCGCCAGCUAAGGUCCCAAAGUCAUGGUUAAGUGGGAAACGAUGUGGGAAGGCCCAGACAGCCAGGAUGUUGGCUUAGAAGCAGCCAUCAUUUAAAGAAAGCGUAAUAGCUCACUGGUCGAGUCGGCCUGCGCGGAAGAUGUAACGGGGCUAAACCAUG
This 870-nucleotide ribosomal RNA is filed under the name Salmonella enterica. RNAcentral describes it as "partial 23S ribosomal RNA". It matches the Rfam family "Bacterial large subunit ribosomal RNA", at positions 421 to 1191 of the family's 2925-position model. The record is from RNAcentral. Lineage: Bacteria; Pseudomonadati; Pseudomonadota; Gammaproteobacteria; Enterobacterales; Enterobacteriaceae.